AUAUACAGUCAUAGCACCCUGAGAAUGUCCGAUCUCGUCUGAUCUCAGAAGCUAAGCAGGGUUGGGCCCGGUUAGUGCCUGGAUGGGUGACCACCUGGGAAUAGCGGGUACUGUGGGCU
This 119-nucleotide ribosomal RNA is filed under the name Patagioenas fasciata monilis. Lineage: Eukaryota; Metazoa; Chordata; Aves; Columbiformes; Columbidae. The record is from RNAcentral.